This 253-nucleotide ribosomal RNA is filed under the name uncultured bacterium. RNAcentral's name for it is "partial 16S ribosomal RNA". It matches the Rfam family "Bacterial small subunit ribosomal RNA", at positions 524 to 776 of the family's 1533-position model. The record is from RNAcentral.
UACGUAGGGUGCAAGCGUUGUCCGGAAUUAUUGGGCGUAAAGAGCGUGUAGGCGGCCUCGUAAGUCCGCUGUGAAAGUCCAGGGCUCAACCCUGGAAAGCCGGUGGAUACUGCGAGGCUAGAGUCCGGAAGGGGCGAGUGGAAUUCCUGGUGUAGCGGUGAAAUGCGCAGAUAUCAGGAGGAACACCAGCGGCGAAGGCGGCGCUCUGGGCUGGAACUGACGCUGAGGAGCGAAAGCGUGGGGAGCGAACAGG